RNAcentral lists this ribosomal RNA (404 nucleotides) under uncultured bacterium. RNAcentral's name for it is "bacterial SSU rRNA". It matches the Rfam family "Bacterial small subunit ribosomal RNA", at positions 355 to 775 of the family's 1533-position model. The record is from RNAcentral.
UGGGGAAUCUUGGACAAUGGGGGCAACCCUGAUCCAGCGAUGCCGCGUGUGUGAAGAAGGCCUGCGGGUUGUAAAGCACUUUUAGAGGGGAUGAGUAAGGACAGUACCCUCAGAAUAAGCCUCGGCUAACUACGUGCCAGCAGCCGCGGUAAAACGUAGGAGGCGAGCGUUAUCCGGAUUUACUGGGCGUAAAGCGCGUGCAGGUGGUACGGCAAGUUGGAUGUGAAAGCUUCCGGCUAAACUGGGAGAGGUCGUUCAAUACUGCCGAACUAGAGGAUGGGAGAGGAAGGUGGAAUUCCGAGUGUAGUGGUGAAAUGCGUAGAUAUUCGGAGGAACACCAGUGGCGAAAGCGGCCUUCUGGCCCAUUUCUGACACUCAGACGCGAAAGCUAGGGGAGCGAACGG